RNAcentral lists this ribosomal RNA (322 nucleotides) under uncultured bacterium. Its description in RNAcentral is "bacterial SSU rRNA". It matches the Rfam family "Bacterial small subunit ribosomal RNA", at positions 32 to 332 of the family's 1533-position model. The record is from RNAcentral.
AAUCAACGCUGGCGGCGUGCCUCAGACAUGCAAGUCGAACGCUGCUGUUCGCCUUCGGGUGGACAGCGGAGUGGCGCACGGGUGAGUAACACGUAGGUAAUCUACCUUUGGGUGGGGAAUAACAGCCGGAAACGGCUGCUAAUACCGCAUAAUGCAGCGGCAUCACAUGAUGACAGUUGUUAAAGCGAGGGAUCGUAAGACCUCGCGCCUGAAGAGGAGCCUGCGGCAGAUUAGGUAGUUGGUGAGGUAAUGGCUCACCAAGCCUGCGAUCUGUAACCGGCCUGAGAGGGCGGUCGGUCACACUGACACUGGCAUACGGGUC